CCAAUUAAGUCAAAUGUGAAAUCCCCGAGCUUAACUUGGGAAUUGCAUUCGAUACUGGUUGGCUAGAGUAUGGGAGAGGAUGGUAGAAUUCCAGGUGUAGCGGUGAAAUGCGUAGAGAUCUGGAGGAAUACCGAUGGCGAAGGCAGCCAUCUGGCCUAAUACUGACACUGAGGUGCGAAAGCAUGGGGAGCAAACAGGAUUAGAUACCCUGGUAGUCCAUGCCGUAAACGAUGUCUACUAGCCGUUGGGGCCUUUGAGGCUUUAGUGGCGCAGCUAACGCGAUAAGUAGACCGCCUGGGGAGUACGGUCGCAAGACUAAAACUCAAAUGAAUUGACGGGGGCCCGCACAAGCGGUGGAGCAUGUGGUUUAAUUCGAUGCAACGCGAAGAACCUUACCUGGUCUUGACAUAGUAAGAACUUUCCAGAGAUGGAUUGGUGCCUUCGGGAACUUACAUACAGGUGCUGCAUGGCUGUCGUCAGCUCGUGUCGUGAGAUGUUGGGUUAAGUCCCGCAACGAGCGCAACCCUUUUCCUUAUUUGCCAGCGGGUUAAGCCGGGAACUUUAAGGAUACUGCCAGUGACAAACUGGAGGAAGGCGGGGACGACGUCAAGUCAUCAUGGCCCUUACGACCAGGGCUACACACGUGCUACAAUGGUCGGUACAAAGGGUUGCUACCACGCGAGUGGAUGCUAAUCUCAAAAAGCCGAUCGUAGUCCGGAUUGGAGUCUGCAACUCGACUCCAUGAAGUCGGAAUCGCUAG
RNAcentral lists this ribosomal RNA (760 nucleotides) under uncultured bacterium. Its description in RNAcentral is "bacterial SSU rRNA". It matches the Rfam family "Bacterial small subunit ribosomal RNA", at positions 579 to 1338 of the family's 1533-position model. The record is from RNAcentral.